RNAcentral lists this unclassified non-coding RNA (271 nucleotides) under Hevea brasiliensis (rubber tree). Lineage: Eukaryota; Viridiplantae; Streptophyta; Magnoliopsida; Malpighiales; Euphorbiaceae. The record is from RNAcentral.
AAAAAAUCCGAGGUUUGAAUUCAAAUUGAAGUUAAAGAACUCUUAUGUUUGUGUUGCACAUGUUCUUAGCAGGUCAGCAUAGCCAUUGGAGUAGAUAUUUGAAUACAAUUCUGCCAUCUUGAUCCAUAUUUCUGAAUAAAUCACUAAAUGAAGGCAUUAAUUGAUAAAAAUAAAAUAUGGACUUGUUUUCCUAUUAAACCAAUCACUUUAUGGUAUUUAGAUUUUUUUUUUCUUUCUCAUUGUUGAAGCAAAAAGUGUCUUUCUUUAGGGA